CUAUAUGUAUCUUGGGAAGGCCCGUUUCCACUUUAAAAGUUUAAACCUCUAUUUCAAGAAAUAAAUGAUGUAAACCAUUAAAAAAUUCUUAAUAUAAUAUCUAUAGAUGGCGAAGAAAAUGUAGGCCCGAAACGCCCAAUUGGUUUCUCGGCGUUGGUUACUAUCGCUUUUUUCCAAUACUCAAGAAAUUAUAUGGUAUUGACGAAACCUAGAACAUAUGCUGCUGAGAUGAACGAAGAGUCUAGUAAAUAGAUGAUCUAAGAGAUCCCCAAAUGUUCAAAAUUCCUGAAAGAAAAAAAAACAUUCUGCCUUUGAAGAAGAAGAAUAUUGUACAUUUGUAUCAUACGACAAGGCCCCUGGAUAUAAAAAGACACAAUAGUGCAGACAUUUUCAAAUUAUUGAAUUUAGACUACUUAUCCUUCAAUUUAUAAUAAAUGAUAACACAGUACAAUUUCGGUUCC
Molecule: long non-coding RNA, 461 nt
Organism: Pieris napi
Lineage: Eukaryota; Metazoa; Arthropoda; Insecta; Lepidoptera; Pieridae
Exons: 3
Source: RefSeq, a predicted model, not a curated record